RNAcentral lists this ribosomal RNA (194 nucleotides) under uncultured Pseudomonas sp. Its description in RNAcentral is "partial 16S ribosomal RNA". It matches the Rfam family "Bacterial small subunit ribosomal RNA", at positions 338 to 524 of the family's 1533-position model. Lineage: Bacteria; Pseudomonadati; Pseudomonadota; Gammaproteobacteria; Pseudomonadales; Pseudomonadaceae. The record is from RNAcentral.
CCUACGGGAGGCAGCAGUGGGGAAUAUUGGACAAUGGGCGCAAGCCUGAUCCAGCCAUGCCGCGUGUGUGAAGAAGGUCUUCGGAUUGUAAAGCACUUUAAGUUGGGAGGAAGGGCAGUAAGCGAAUACCUUGCUGUUUUGACGUUACCGACAGAAUAAGCACCGGCUAACUCUGUGCCAGCAGCCGCGGUAAU